Molecule: RNA transcript, 724 nt
Organism: Nannospalax galili (Upper Galilee mountains blind mole rat)
Lineage: Eukaryota; Metazoa; Chordata; Mammalia; Rodentia; Spalacidae
Gene name: nucleoporin NUP35 pseudogene
Exons: 1
Source: RefSeq, a predicted model, not a curated record
UUAGGAGUAUAUUUGAUGACAUUUCUAGCCCCGGACUUGGAUCAACACCUUUAACUUCAAGAAGACGAAGAUUUCAGUAAUGCAGAGUCCUCUUGUUGGAGUUACAACUCCUGUAACCGGGCAAAGUAUGUUUAGUCUGGCAAAUAUUGGUCAAGCACAAAAGAUGACACUAUGUCUUGCCCAGCUGGAUCCUUUUUAUACUCAAGGAGAUUCUCUGUUUUCAGAAGAUCACCUUGAUGACACUUGGGUGACUGUGUUUGGGUUUCCACAAGCAUCUGCUUCUUAUAUAUUACUACAAUUUGUACAGUAUGGAAAUAUCUUAAAGCACAUGAUGUCUAGCACAGGCAAUUGGAUGCAUAUUCGUUAUCAAUCUAAAUUGCAAGGCUGGAAAACCUUAAGCAAAGAUGGGAGAAUAUUUGGAGAAUCCAUCAUGAUCGAUGUCAAGCCAUGUAUAGAUAAACCUUUACACCACCAAUGAAGACCUUAGGCACACCACAACCUGGAAGUACUCCUAGGAUUUCUACCAUGAGGCCUCUUGCUACCACAUACAAAGCUUCUACUAAUGACUACCAGGUUAUUUCUGACAGACAAAUGCCAAAAAAGGCCAAAGUCUCAUGUCAAGAAUGAUGGAGUACAUGUUUGGCUGGUAGUGUAAUAAGAGCUUAGAACUCUGCUACCAAGGAAGACCUUGCUACACUAAACUGGAGUUAGUGGAGUGCUGCCA